AUUGUCGCAUGUCUAUUGUACUUCAUCAGGUGCUCUGGUUGCUUUAGAUACCCGGCACAUGAUGGAGUACACUUCAUGUGCGAUCAA
RNAcentral lists this microRNA precursor (87 nucleotides) under Phlebotomus papatasi. Its description in RNAcentral is "microRNA mir-305". The stretch from base 8 to 80 matches the Rfam family "mir-305 microRNA precursor family". Lineage: Eukaryota; Metazoa; Arthropoda; Insecta; Diptera; Psychodidae. The record is from RNAcentral.